AAAAACAAAAGGCAGGAAACAAGUAUGAUCCAGGCUUAGCAACUUCACUGAAUGAGAAAUGAAGUUAUUGGAAACAGAUAAGAAAGAAAAUAAUGGAAAUCAAACAACACCAAAGAAAGUGAGAUUGCUAAGCUAAAAAAAUAACAAAAAAGGGUCUAAAAAACCUAAAGAAGUAUAUAUAUAUAUAUAUGCUUUAAAAGUGUAAAUCAAUUAGUAAGAUAGUAAAGAAACUAAUAUUGUAGGAUUUAUGUCAGAGUAAUAAUUGCAAAAAAUAUAUUUGCAGGGAAAUGAAUGAGUUAACAGUGCUAUUUCCAGUAUGACAAGUAGGAAAACAGAACAAAUUAUAUUUCAGCUACCUGGGAAAUAACAUAAGUGUGAUGGAAGCAAUGGAAGAGAGUGAGGAAUUAAACCACUUGUACAGAAGCAGUCAAUAGCAGUACCUGAUGGUGAUGGGAGCACAGAGCAAAAAAAGGAGGAUUUUCUACAGCUCAGAAUCUCAGGCAAGAAUGUAAUUUCACUGUGGAUAAAACACAAACACAACAACCCAAACCUGCAAAUCAAAACUAAAGAGACAUAGCCAAUUCAACCAAACAAUACUAAUCUAGAUGGCUAAAGAUCUAAUAUCACCUAGACUGAGA
RNAcentral lists this long non-coding RNA (638 nucleotides) under Cyanistes caeruleus (blue tit). RNAcentral describes it as "lncRNA (ENSCCEG00000013185.1)". The record is from RNAcentral. Lineage: Eukaryota; Metazoa; Chordata; Aves; Passeriformes; Paridae.